CUACAUAGUCCAACUGUGCCGGGACGUAGAAUGGGUACAACCGGUCUUUCUCUUAACAUAUCAUAUCAUACAGUCCAACUGUGCCAGGGACGUAGAAUGGGUACAACCUUGACUUCCAUACCAUAUCAUGCCAUAACAUCAUCAUAUCAUAUGAGGACUAAAGGAUCAUCCAAUGACCAAUCCACAUCAACAUCAUAAAUGCAAUGCAACAUAUUCGUGAAUACUAAUGCAA
This 232-nucleotide long non-coding RNA is filed under the name Manihot esculenta (cassava). Its description in RNAcentral is "long non-coding RNA (MESC_LNC000833)". The record is from RNAcentral. Lineage: Eukaryota; Viridiplantae; Streptophyta; Magnoliopsida; Malpighiales; Euphorbiaceae.